CACCCCUCAACCUUCUACCAUCUUUCGCUCUCAUGUCCCCACCCACCCCACACACGUCAGAAGCGAGCAGCGGAAGCCCAUCUGGUUGUGCCUUUUUACUCCCACGGUAUAUAUCUCAUCGCCGUCGAUCGCCAAGCACCUCGUCGUCGACCUCCCCCUCCCCCUUCCCCUUCCUCCUCCCCGCCUCCUCUGCAUGUGAGCAACUCAGAACACACACACACAGAGAGAGAGAGAGAGAGCAUAUGGACUGACUGAUCACUCGUGUCUUCUUCAUGACCUUUUAUGUUACUUCGACUGGCAACAGAUGGCAACUAAGGAAACUGGUGAAUCUGGUCACAGAUGCUAAAGCCAUUAAAUUUGCAGCUUCUUGUCCUCUUUUACUUUGACCGCCUCCAUUGCUCAUCUAAAAACAGGGUGAGAUUCUACAUGGAUAUUGAUCAUGAAGUGGGUGAUUGUUUCUGAAGCUGCAAGCAAAUUUAGCUCACAGAAAGCCAAGUUGGUGAGAGGUGGUGUCUCAUGAACUGUUGACAUCUCUGAGAGUAGUGUGUGUUCUGAAGCAUCAACUCUACUAGAGUGCUUCAAUGGAUGGCAGAAGAAAGAGACAUAGCAUUGCAGCUACUUCAAGAACUAAGCAUGGAGGAGUUGGAUCACAAGAACCAGACCAUAAAGCCUUCUCCUCCAAGUACUUCAGUGCAGAGUCUCUUCUGGUUCUGCUUUGCCUCACUGCCUCGUUGCUGAUACUUCCAGUGAUACUACCCACAUUGCCUCCACCACCUCUUGCAGUGCUGCUGCUUCCAAUAGGCAUCCUUGUUUUGCUCAUGAUCUUGGCAUUCAUGCCCUCAGAUGUAAGAAAGAUUGCAUCACCUUGUGAAUAAAUUGAGUUGGCCUUGUUCA
This is a long non-coding RNA of Musa acuminata AAA Group (dessert banana), 894 nucleotides long. RefSeq lists it as uncharacterized. The record is from RefSeq and is a predicted model, not a curated record. NCBI's taxonomy places the organism in Eukaryota, Viridiplantae, Streptophyta, Magnoliopsida, Zingiberales, Musaceae. The transcript has 2 exons.